RNAcentral lists this ribosomal RNA (559 nucleotides) under Phascolosoma esculenta. RNAcentral describes it as "partial 16S ribosomal RNA". It matches the Rfam family "Bacterial large subunit ribosomal RNA", at positions 1837 to 2619 of the family's 2925-position model. Lineage: Eukaryota; Metazoa; Annelida; Sipuncula; Phascolosomatiformes; Phascolosomatidae. The record is from RNAcentral.
CUUCCGUUAUUGGGAGGCAUUGCCUGCCCAGUGACAACUGUUUAACGGCCGCGGUAUCCUGACCGUGCAAAGGUAGCAUAAUCAUUUGUUCUCUAAAUAAGGACUUGUAUGAAUGGCCGCACGAGGGUUUUACUGUCUCUUACUUCCAAUCAGUGAAAUUGACCUUCCCGUGAAGAGGCGGGAAUGCACAAAUAAGACGAGAAGACCCUAUGGAGCUUUAACUAACCAACCCAAAGAGAAUAGAUUUAACCAUUAAGGAAUAACAACAAUCUCCAUGAGUUGGUAGUUUCGGUUGGGGUGACCUCGGAGAAUAAAAAAUCCUCCGAGCGAUUUUAAAGACUAGACCCACAAGUCAAAUCACUCUAUCGCUCAUUGAUCCAAAAACUUGAUCAACGGAACAAGUUACCCUAGGGAUAACAGCGCAAUCCUAUUCAAGAGUCCAUAUCGACAAUAGGGUUUACGACCUCGAUGUUGGAUCAGGACAUCCUGAUGGUGCAACCGCUAUCAAAGGUUCGUUUGUUCAACGAUUAAAGUCCUACGUGAUCUGAGUUCAGACCGG